This is a long non-coding RNA of Sinocyclocheilus rhinocerous, 828 nucleotides long. RefSeq lists it as uncharacterized. The transcript has 3 exons. NCBI's taxonomy places the organism in Eukaryota, Metazoa, Chordata, Actinopteri, Cypriniformes, Cyprinidae. The record is from RefSeq and is a predicted model, not a curated record.
GCCGGACUCGGGGUGGGAUUAACCACAUUCCCCUUCUCCCACAUACUCUUGAUGCUCCGCAGGCCUUCAGCCACAGUGUUACUCGACUCUUCAUUCUCCAUAUUGCUCAGGCGUUCCUGACGGGCUCGUCUCCGGUGCUCCCGGGCCGCCUCCUCGUCAUCAUCGUAAGAGUUCAUCCUGUAGAGGCGGUGGGACACAGACAUGCAAAUGUUGUAGAUGGUAGAGAGAAACCCAUAACAGGGACCGCAAUUCUAUUUCUCCAUCCCGAGACCAACAGCGGAAAUCCGAAACAAUCCGGUUCUCUCAGGGAGUUCCAUAUCCAAGAAGACAGUCAGAUGGAGUAUCUGUGAUUUUCCUGGAAGAAUACAGUCUGUCUUCUGUAAGAAGUGUUGCUGGAUGAAUACAAUAGCUUUCAGACCUCCAGUGCGGCAGACGAAAUGCAAGGAGAGAUGGAGGGAGAAAGCUCACACUCUUGACGGAUACUGAAACAUUAUGGCUGAAUCUUGGAAUAAAAGCAGCAGUCAAAACAUUCCAAAGUCUGUGGAGUUUCCUUAACCUGCUGCAGAGAGAUUCAGCACAUGACAGAGGCCAGAUUCCCAUUGUAUUGAAGGCCAGGGCUGCAUUGGACUGUUGGUGCCAAUGGGUUCUACAAUCUACUUAGGUUUACAAUGCUUUUGGGAAGCAUUAGCUGUGCUAGUUUCAUGUGUUUCAUUUCACUCUAUGGUCUCUUUCUUUUCACGUAAUAAAAUAAUUUCAGCUUAAAUUAAUAUUUCAUGUCCAUUUAUUAUUAUGUACAGUCAGUCUGUCAUGAUAACAAAAUAAACUCCA